CCCAGCAGCUGCUUCCUCCCAGGGCUCCCCCAAGGGGCAAAGCAAAGCCCCCUCCUCAGUGUGCAGUGAGAGCUGAGCUCCAGCCCAGGGCUCAGGGAGGGGCUGGGCAGUCCCUGGAUGGAAACGCGUUUGCAUGAGCAGCCCCUCCUCUGCAGAGGGUGGGGACAAAAGGAGGCCUGGGCAGCCCAGCCCCACUGUGGGGACCAGGGGCUGUGUGCACCAUGGCCUGGGCUCCUGUCCUGCUCGUGAUCCUCUCUCACUGCACAGGGUCCCUGUCCCAGCCUGUGCUGACCCAGCCGCCCUCUGCAUCUGCCUCCCCGGGAGCCUCGGCCAAGCUCACCUGCACCCUGAGCAGUGCGCACAGUGACUACACCAUUGCGUGGCUUCAGCAGCAGCCAGGGAAGGCGCCCCGGUACUUGAUGGAUAUUUACAGUGAUGGAAGCCAGAGCAAGGGGGACGGGGUCCCCGAUCGCUUCUCGGGCUCCAGCUCCGGGGCUGACCGCUACUUAACCAUCUCCAACGUCCAGCCUGAGGACGAGGCUGACUAUCACUGUCACACCUGGGACGGUGCUGUUAAUCACAAAGGCCUGAUGCCCGUCACCUGGCUCAUCGUCAUGGGGUCAAUGAGAUAA
Molecule: non-coding RNA, 632 nt
Organism: Microcebus murinus (gray mouse lemur)
Lineage: Eukaryota; Metazoa; Chordata; Mammalia; Primates; Cheirogaleidae
Source: the annotation of a RefSeq genome assembly